Molecule: long non-coding RNA, 780 nt
Filed under: Vigna radiata
Lineage: Eukaryota; Viridiplantae; Streptophyta; Magnoliopsida; Fabales; Fabaceae
Description: long non-coding RNA (VRAD_LNC004427)
Source: RNAcentral
AAAUGAGCAGGUUUGGAAAAUUUGGCAUUCCAAAUAUACCCUUAACUAUGUUUUCUCUUUCAUUUCACAAUCUUUCUCAUUUCACAACCAACCUCGUUUCGUCCUCUCUCUCGUUUAGUUGUUGUCUGCGUUGUGGUUACCCAUUUGAUUUUCCGUUGUCCGUUGUCGGCGGUUGGUGGAAAUGGAAAGUCCGGAAGGGCAGCUUCGUUGUAGAAAGGUAAAUGCGUUGUUGGGUUUUGGGUUUUUUGUUAGGGUAGUUUUGUUUUAGUUUUGUUCGAGUUUUGGGUUUUUGGGUUUUUCGUUUGCGUUGUUAGGUUUUGGGAUUUUUGUUAGGGUAGUUUUGUUUUUGUUUUGUUCGAGUUUUGGGUUUUUGGGUUUUUCGUUUGCGUUGUUAGGUUUUGGGUUUUUGGUUUGCGUUGUUAGGUUUUGGGUUUUUGAUUUGUGGUCUUCCGUUAUGGAUGUUGUGGUGAUGGUUUAGUGUUUAUUUGUUUUGGGUUUUUGAUUUGUGUUCGUCGUUGUUGAUGUUGUGUUAAUGGUAGUGUGUUUUUGUGUUUUGUGUAAUUGUUUAAGGGUGUUGUGUUGUUUGUUUUAUGUUUCUUUGUGGGUUUUUCCACCCCAUUUAGUUAUGUUUGUAAUAUGGUUCUGCUAUUACAUUUGAUUUGUUUUGGUUGAGCAAUUGACGGACAUAGUCAAAGUUUUUGCACCAGAUAUUUGUCCUCCAACACUUGCCUUGGUGGAGGCAACGCCAAAACCUGUUAUUCGACUUCCGAUGUGGACAGA